GCCCGGAUGGCGGAAUUGGUAGACGCGCUGGUCUCAAACACCAGUGGGAUCAAACCCAUGCCGGUUCGACCCCGGCUCCGGGUA
This 84-nucleotide transfer RNA is filed under the name Bacteroidota bacterium. Its description in RNAcentral is "tRNA-Leu". It matches the Rfam family "tRNA". Rfam says of the family: Transfer RNA (tRNA) molecules are approximately 80 nucleotides in length. Their secondary structure includes four short double-helical elements and three loops (D, anti-codon, and T loops). The record is from RNAcentral. Lineage: Bacteria; Pseudomonadati; Bacteroidota. RNAcentral also lists the same sequence under 1 other name.